Molecule: transfer RNA, 85 nt
Filed under: Leontynka pallida
Lineage: Eukaryota; Viridiplantae; Chlorophyta; Chlorophyceae; Chlamydomonadales
Description: tRNA-Leu
Rfam family: tRNA
About the family: Transfer RNA (tRNA) molecules are approximately 80 nucleotides in length.
Source: RNAcentral
GGGGAUAUGGCGAAAUGGUAGACGCAUCGGACUUAAAAUCCGAGCAGGGUAAUUCUUGGUGAGGGUUCAAGUCCCUCUUUCCCCA